GAUGAACGCUGGCGGCGUGCCUAAUACAUGCCAGUCGAGCGAACGGACGAGAAGCUUGCUUCUCUGAUGUUAGCGGCGGACGGGUGAGUAACACGUGGAUAACCUACCUAUAAGACUGGGAUAACUUCGGGAAACCGGAGCUAAUACCGGAUGAUAUUUUGAACCGCAUGGUUCAAAAGUGAAAGACGGUCUUGCUGUCACUUAUAGAUGGAUCCGCGCUGCAUUAGCUAGUUGGUAAGGUAACGGCUUACCAAGGCAACGAUGCAUAGCCGACCUGAGAGGGUGAUCGGCCACACUGGAACUGAGACACGGUCCAGACUCCUACGGGAGGCAGCAGUAGGGAAUCUUCCGCAAUGGGCGAAAGCCUGACGGAGCAACGCCGCGUGAGUGAUGAAGGUCUUCGGAUCGUAAAACUCUGUUAUUAGGGAAGAACACAUGUGUAAGUAACUGUGCACAUCUUGACGGUACCUAAUCAGAAAGCCACGGCUAACUACGUG
This 497-nucleotide ribosomal RNA is filed under the name uncultured bacterium. RNAcentral's name for it is "partial 16S ribosomal RNA". It matches the Rfam family "Bacterial small subunit ribosomal RNA", at positions 28 to 507 of the family's 1533-position model. The record is from RNAcentral.